UGCAGUCGAGCGGUAACAGAUCCAGCUUGCUGGAUGCUGACGAGCGGCGGACGGGUGAGUAAUGCAUAGGAAUCUGCCCGAUAGUGGGGGAUAACCUGGGGAAACCCAGGCUAAUACCGCAUACGUCCUACGGGAGAAAGGGGGCUCCGGCUCCCGCUAUGGGAUGAGCCUAUGUCGGAUUAGCUAGUUGGUGAGGUAACGGCUCACCAAGGCCACGAUCCGUAGCUGGUCUGAGAGGAUGAUCAGCCACAUCGGGACUGAGACACGGCCCGAACUCCUACGGGAGGCAGCAGUGGGGAAUAUUGGACAAUGGGGGAAACCCUGAUCCAGCCAUGCCGCGUGUGUGAAGAAGGCCCUCGGGUUGUAAAGCACUUUCAGCGAGGAAGAACGCCUAGCGGUUAAUACCCGCUAGGAAAGACAUCACUCGCAGAAGAAGCACCGGCUAACUCCGUGCCAGCAGCCGCGGUAAUACGGAGGGUGCAAGCGUUAAUCGGAAUUACUGGGCGUAAAGCGCGCGUAGGUGGCUUGAUAAGCCGGUUGUGAAAGCCCCGGGCUCAACCUGGGAACGGCAUCCGGAACUGUCAAGCUAGAGUGCAGGAGAGGAAGGUAGAAUUCCCGGUGUAGCGGUGAAAUGCGUAGAGAUCGGGAGGAAUACCAGUGGCGAAGGCGGCCUUCUGGACUGACACUGACACUGAGGUGCGAAAGCGUGGGUAGCAAACAGGAUUAGAUACCCUGGUAGUCCACGCCGUAAACGAUGUCGACCAGCCGUUGGGUGCCUAGCGCACUUUGUGGCGAAGUUAACGCGAUAAGUCGACCGCCUGGGGAGUACGGCCGCAAGGUUAAAACUCAAAUGAAUUGACGGGGGCCCGCACAAGCGGUGGAGCAUGUGGUUUAAUUCGAUGCAACGCGAAGAACCUUACCUACUCUUGACAUCCUGCGAAUUUGGUAGAGAUACCUUAGUGCCUUCGGGAACGCAGAGACAGGUG
This 986-nucleotide ribosomal RNA is filed under the name Vreelandella aquamarina. RNAcentral's name for it is "bacterial SSU rRNA". It matches the Rfam family "Bacterial small subunit ribosomal RNA", at positions 56 to 1040 of the family's 1533-position model. Lineage: Bacteria; Pseudomonadati; Pseudomonadota; Gammaproteobacteria; Oceanospirillales; Halomonadaceae. The record is from RNAcentral.